CGAGCGAGCGAGCGAGAGAAAGAGACAGACAGAAAGGAAGGAGGAGGAGGAGGAGGUGAAAAGAGAAAGAGUGAUCGGAGGAAAGAUCCCAGCAGCCGAGCCGUCCGCUCUUCCGCCUCUUCACCCGGGCCAAAGACAUCAAGCCAUGCUGACCUUGAAAAUCCUUUCCGGAUCCUGAAGGUAGAACUGGAGUUGUCGUUUUAACAUUGCAGCAUGGCGAAUACUUUUCGUCAACAGCCUUUAGAGUAGUUUCCAGGAGUUCAGAUUCCUCCCCAAAUCUAAUUACUGCCAGCAGAGAAGUGUCCAUAUUUGGACAUGGAAAAACACGCACAGCCUAAACAAAUGAACCAGCCUCAAAGGUAACCUAAUCCAAUCUCUUGUUGACGCAGAAUAUCUAGUGCUAUGGUAUCUGGAUAGGUCUGUUCCACCAUUGAACAGCUCACAAUGUCAGCAAUUUCUCCCUAUUACUUAGGCUAAAACCCUUUUCCUUGUCAUUUGAACCCAUUGGUUUGGUGUCCUACUCUCGAGAGCAACAGAGAACAAAUAUGCACUAUCAUCUAUGAGGCAGCAUUUCAAACAGUUGAAGAUGGCGGUCAUGUCACCUCUGAGUUGUCUCUUCCCCAGGUUAAGCAUUUCCAGCUCAUUCAACCUCUAUUCAGAGGACUUGGUUUUCAGGCACUUCACCAUCUUUUGCUCUCUGCAUAGCCAGGCUGGGUCAGGUAAGGUUAUCUAAUCAGCUUCAUAAUUAGGUGGGCCCCUGAAGCCCAGAUUUCCAGUCCAGACCCAACACUAGCCAUUAUACCACACAGGGCAUGUCCUUAGUAUCAGAUGCUGCUGUAACAAGUGGAUGGGGAUGUCCCUGUAGGCCACACUGGAUCUGCAAGCACUGAUAUAUUCUGUUGUAUCCUACUAAGUCUUGGGAUUCAACUCAGCUUGCACUGCAAACGGGAAGGGUAUCUAGACCUUCAACCUUCCUAGACUGUCAUUUUUGUGCUGAUGUGUUAGAGUGAUACUCUAAGGUUGCUGACCUCAUUUCCUACUUCCUGCUUCUUCAUCCUCAUCUUGGAAGAGGAGACAUCUUUUUGGGGAAUCUCGUGCUUCUGACAAAGUGCAAGUAUGGCUCUUUGUAUCUCCACCUGAGGAACUUUCCUAUCAAGUUUUCGGCUGGGAAAAACUCCUGCCACAGCAAAACAGGAGUCUGUAUGGCACUUUCCCCUCCUUCUUGCUCCAGAUGUCAUGUGGCUCCACACACUGCAGGAAGCGGAGCGGUACAAAGGAACGACUUGAUGGCCCUACUAUUUGACAGAGUAAGACAACUGCCUAUGUACCCGCUAAACUUGUCUGCUGGCCUCAGGUAGGGGGGAAGACAUGGCCAGGCAUGGUCUCCCUGCUUUCCACCCCACCAGUCCCAAUAGGCCCCAGCCACCACCAACGCUACCUCAUUACCAACUGCCAAGUCAGCCACCUUCUGUGCAUGGAAUUUGGAGAGGAGGAGCCAUCUUGUCCUUUGCCUCAGGUGGCAAAAUGCCUUGGCCACCCGCCACAAACCUCCCUUAUCAUUGCACAUUAUCUGAUUGCAGCCGCAUCUUAAUUUCUAUUUUCUUCCCACAUUGUUGGAACAUAUUUUCCUGUCAGCCAGAUAACUCCCAAAUAGCACACAUCACCUGAGGAAAACACGUUAACAACCUCCAUUAAGGCCAGCCUUGUUUUAGAUCUUGAAGUUUUCAACAGUUUUACAUGUUACAAGACAGUCCUUUGGAAAUGCCCAAGCUACAUACACACACACACACACACACACACACACACACACCAUGAGCCCUAGAAAUGUGCCUUUAGCCAAUGCCUGCACAAUAUGUACUGGUUGUAUCUGAGUUAUUAUUAACAUUUCCCUCCCUUUGCACCUAAUCCCUUAUGCCUUUUAUUAUAAUCCCACACAUUACAGUUAAUCUGUAAUGAUACUGCUUCAGAGGGACCUGUUGCUCACAGUGAUGGUAAUUUGUAACCUUGGUAACAAUUUAAAUAAUGAAUCUAACAAUGAUGUCUACCGUAUUUCUACAGUAGGAGGAGCCUAAGAAUUAUUGCUUCUGUGAGAGAAUGAAUUUAAAGAAAACAUCAAAGGCGGAUUCGACAUUCUGAGUAGCUAGAAUUUCAUCAUUUUUAUUGGUUUUUCCCCCAGGAUUGACAUUGGAUUAAUGUGUGUUUAGGUGAUUGGCUGGCUUCCUUUGAGUAGAUUAAUAUAUCCAAGAAUAUAUAUAUAUAACCAACUAUAUAUAUAUACACAUAUAUCUAUAAAUUAAAAAUUUAAUAUGUUACAAAAGUAUUACUGUAUAUCGAUAAAAGUUAGUGAACUACUAUCUUUCUACUAUCUUUCUCUCUAUAAGUGUGUGUUAUCUAUCUAUCCAAACAUUUACUAUUUAUCUAUUUCAUAAAAUCUAUAUACCACUUGAUUGCAGAAAAAACUUUGAAGCAGUUUUGAAAAAACGAUAAAACAAUAAAUUCACGGCUAAAAAAUUACAGCUAUAAUUUGAAACAUACAGGAAGAGAAAACCACAAUAGACUAAAACAAGUUAAAACCAGUAUACCUGAAGGAGCGUCUCCACCCCCAUUGUUCUGCCCGGACACUGAGGUCCAGCGCCGAAGGCCU
This is a non-coding RNA of Podarcis muralis (Common wall lizard), 2644 nucleotides long. NCBI's taxonomy places the organism in Eukaryota, Metazoa, Chordata, Lepidosauria, Squamata, Lacertidae. The record is from RefSeq and is a predicted model, not a curated record.